GGGAAUAAAUUAAUAAAUUAAAAAUAAUAAAAAAAUUUUUAAAUUUUAGUAUAUUAUUAUUUUAAUGGGGGUUAAAGUAUAUAGAUAGAAAAAAUUAAAAAUUUUAUAAAAAAUUAGUAUUGUGAAAAAAUUUUGAAAUAUUAUUGAAAAAUAAUUUAUUAUAAAGUAAUUUUUAGUUAGUGUAUCUUGUGUAUCAGAGUUUAUUAAAUAAAUUUUUAAUAAAAAUUUCUCGAAUUUAAAAGAGAUAAUUAAUUAAAAAAGUUAUUGUAGCAUAAAUAUUUUUAAUAAUUAAUUUGAAAUGAAAUGUUAAUCGUUUUUAAAGAUAUCUAGUUUUUUUAGAAAAAAAUUUAAUUUUAAAUUUAUUUAUAAUAUAUAUAUAUAUAUAUAUAUAUAUAUAUAAAUAUUAAAUUAAUUGAUUAAUAAUUAAUUAAUAUUAAAUAAAUUUUAUGUUUUAAGGGAUAAGCUUUUUAACAAAUUUAAUAUAAUUUAUGAAUUAUUUAUUGUUUAAAAAUUAUAUAAUUUAUAUUGUUAACAAAUUAUAGUUUAUUAUAAAUAAUUUUAAAUAAAAUAAGAUUUAAUUUUAAUUUAUUUUUUUUUUAUAAAAAAAUAAUUUUUAAUUAAAUAAAAUUAGUUAUAAUGAUAAAAUUAGUAUAUUAUAAAUAUAUUAUUUAAUUUAUAAUUUUAAUAAUUAAGUAUUUUAAAGGAAUUCGGCAAAAUUAUAUACUCACUUGUUUAUCAAAAACAUGUCUUUUUGAAUUUAAUAUAAAGUCUGAUCUGCCCACUGAUUUAUUAAAGGGCUGCAGUAUAUUGACUGUACAAAGGUAGCAUAAUCAUUAGUCAUUUAAUUGAUGACUUGUAUGAAGGAUUGGAUGAAGUAUAAUCUGUCUCUGAAAUAAAUAAUAAAAUUUAAUUUUUAAAUUAAAAAGUUUAAAUAAAUUAAAAAGACGAGAAGACCCUAUAGAGCUUUAUUUAUUAUUAAUUUAUAUUUAUUUAUAAAUUUAAAAUUUUUAAUUUAAUAAUAAAUUUUAUUGGGGUGAUAGAAAAAUAUAAAUAACUUUUUUUUAAAAAGAAAACAUAUAUAAGUGAUUAAAUGAUCCAAUUUUAUUGAUUAUAAGAAAAAGUUACCUUAGGGAUAACAGCGUAAUUUAUUUUUUUAGUUCAUAUAAAAAUUUAAGUUUGCGACCUCGAUGUUGGAUUAAGAUAAAAAUUAAAUGCAAAAGUUUAAAUUUUUGAUCUGUUCGAUCAUUAAAAUCUUACAUGAUCUGAGUUCAGACCGGUGUAAGCCAGGUUGGUUUCUAUCUUUUAAUAAGAUAAUAUUUUAGUACGAAAGGAUCAAAUAUUUAAAUUAAAUUUUUAUUUUUGAAUUUUAUUAAAUAAUAUAUAUAUAUAUAUAUAUAUAUAUAAAUAAAUAAAUAACAAAUUAAAA
RNAcentral lists this ribosomal RNA (1426 nucleotides) under Hyphantria cunea (fall webworm moth). Its description in RNAcentral is "large subunit ribosomal RNA". The record is from RNAcentral. Lineage: Eukaryota; Metazoa; Arthropoda; Insecta; Lepidoptera; Erebidae.